UUCAUUAAAAAAAUGCGAACUGACAUUAUUAAAAAACGUUCAAAGUGUUCCUCCAGGAUGCCAGGAUGAUGUACAACGUGUGGAAAAAUGACUUCUGAAAUCUAAAAAUUGAGCCUAAUUUUUCUUUAUAAAUUACCGCACUCUUUUAAAAAAGUGGAGGAAUUAUAUGAUAUUGAACAUUGAUUUUAAAAAAAUGAAGCUAUCUAUGUAGCUGUUUUUUUCCUUCAGCAAGAGAGGGACGGAUUCUUUCAUCAUUGAUUCAGAUAAGAAAAAAAUUCGAUGCUCCUCGUUCUAUUAGAAUUUCAUCAGACUAUAAAAUAGAAAUGAUGCAGGGUCAAUUGAUUUCGCGAUCAUCCACGAAAAAGUUGCAUAAUAAUCUCGAUUCGAAAGCACGACAAUGGCGGGGCUGAGUCGAUCAAUUUUUGGUAAGAAAAGCAGAUAGGAAUUAUGGGCUUUAUUAAUUUUAAGGCACUUUUCGAGAGUAAAAAAAUGUGAAAUUAGGUAACGAAAAGUUUCUCACAGAAGUGGAAGAGCUUCGCUUAUAAGAUAAUUCGAUUAGAUUUUUCAACAGAUUAUGCGGCGAGGUGCUCGAUGUUUUUUCUUUCUCAAAUGACGAGUUGGAUUUCAGGACGAUCACGAUGAGUUUAUUUUUAUAGGAUUACACAUUUUCGCACUGUCUCGACCUUCGAACGAUAUUCUUCUCGCGACUAUAGAGUAGAGCGUUGAUGCUGAAAAAAAAGGAAAAGAAUAACGCAAUCGAAUGCAGCUGCAACAUAGAUAGGUAUUAAAAGAUUCGCGACCUCUGACCCGCCAUUUGGAUUUCCAUGUUAAGGCGCGACUCGGGUAUUUCCAAUUUCAACUUCGUCGUAAGAGAGUUGGGCAACAUUCGAAGUCGAAGAGCACCUAUGUGGCUAUGUAACCGAUGAGAUGAAGGCUCAACUUACGGCCAGAUCUUCGUACGAGAGAAAGUCAUCGUUGACGUUGGUCGGCGGCGGGCAAGGAUAGAAGGCUGUCUGUUGUGACUGAUGUCUGGCCCCUAGCGCCGGCUCUCUCAAGUCGUCUACGUGUCUACGUUGAAAAACCGGCGAAGCUAGAACUUUACGUUUCCGAGUAUUGUAUUCGGCCACCAAUCUGUCGAAAUCCUCCCAUUCCGUAUCCACAUCUUCUUCGUACAUACUCGUACUUGUGUUCGACGAUAUCUUAAUCAGCUACGAGUAUUCUUACGACGACGAAGCGAUUGAUCGAAAACACAUCGCGGGCAUUAGGCUCCAAAAUACAUAAGAAGGACAGAAAAUAUGCUGAUUUCGCAAUCGCAAUCGCACUGACCGAGUGAAAAUUAUAGUUAUUGGUAACCGAGGCUCGCGCUCGGUUAAUCGCUAACUGCGGACAAUCGCACACGAAUUACGAGUAUGCGACUUGUAUUAGUUUCAAUUUGAAAUGCGAUCUCGUCUUUCGUCUGCUGCCCGCCGAUCAUCCAAUAUUAUAAUACCUACGUGUACGUGUACGUGAAGAAAAACGUGGUCAUUGCUGGCUUCCUUUUCGGAUAGAGACAGAGGGCGAGGCGUUGAUAUCGUACUCGCGUAUUGUGUAUACUGUAUUGUACGAUAUGGUCAUUCAUAACAUCAUAAGCAACCACAUAUACAUGUACUGUACAGUGUACAUGCAGUAAAUAUGAGAAAUUUAUAACGUCUAUGGUCUAUGCGAUGUACCUCUUCCUCUUCCUCUACCUCUAUCUUUACCUAUGCCAUACGCAUUUAAAUGCGACACGUAACCGGGACGUAUCAAUUUAUCCAAUUAAUUUUCUGUGUCCAUGUCCACAGUCCAUUCGCUAAUCUGCUCGCUAAUGCUGCUCAUCUUUCGGCAUCUGUUCGUCGCAAUCAUUUAUUGCAAUAUUUGAUGUAUUCGACAGCACAUGAUGCAGGUUUUCCAUAGAGAAAGACAUAGACAUAGACACAGCGCGGCGGCGGUCCCAUCUCCAAACCGUAUAAGGGCCAACUCCGAAAAUUUUAGCUCACAGACACCUACUCAGUGCCAUUCACUCAAGAUCCUCAUUCAUUGCUUGAUACGAGCAAGGCUGGUUACUUCGGAAAUCGUCGUUUUUUGAUUUGCAUCACAAGGCAAAGAGUCAAUAAAUCUUGAUCAGAAAUAGGUACCAAAUUUUGGUCACCUUCCAAAGAUGUCGCAGAGGUGAAUAGUGAAGGGUGAUUGAAGUUUGGCACCCCUGAUCAAGAUUUGCAGUCGGGUGAUUGUAUGAUCAUAUCAAAAACAUCCAGUCAACGCUUUUCUCAUAGCUCAAGUAAUAUUUUUUUAGCAUCGAUGCUUUUUUUGCAACUUACUACGUAGUUUUUGAUAAUUUCUAUUAAUUGGUUAUUGGUUUUAAAUUUUUAAAUUAAAAAAAAUUUUUUUUCAUGUUGUUAUGUCAUUUUAACGAGUUUCUGACACAAAUUGUAGAAGAACUCCAUUCCAGAUCCAAGCUAAAAUAUGUUGUAUGUUUACAAAGGAUGUUAUCAUAUUACCUACAACCAUAAGUAUAGAAUUUGAUGCUGUUACGUAUUUAACGAGGACCAGUACGCGGUAUGAUUGGACCUGCCUGCAACAACUCUGUACACAAUGUACAAAUCGUAAGAUGCCGAGAUGACCUUCCACCUUGCCAUUGGAAUCACUGUGCACAGUAUUUACUCGUAGAUACGUACUCGUAUUUACACAGAUACUGAGACACGCCACACCGAAGGCACAAGCGGGAAAUUCUAGCGAUGGUUUGCUAAUAACACUUCACACGUAAUCAUGCACCGGAACGUAUUUGAAUAAUUUUUUACAUAAUUUCCCAAUAAAUGAAAUUUUCAUAA
Molecule: long non-coding RNA, 2846 nt
Organism: Planococcus citri (citrus mealybug)
Lineage: Eukaryota; Metazoa; Arthropoda; Insecta; Hemiptera; Pseudococcidae
Exons: 3
Source: RefSeq, a predicted model, not a curated record